AGCUUUGUGCUCAAUUACCCGACGCACAUCCAGAAUAAGCCCUGCUAGACCUGGCUACAAAUACUAAACCUUGCCCGAACCAACACCCAUUACAGUCGUUGGACUCCAAGCGAAGUGCGCUAGCAUCUUUUCAAAAGGAAGUUACGUCUCUCUAGCAAAGAUUUCUGACUGAAAUAUGAAGACCAUUUGUGUCCUGUUCGUUCUGGUGGUGAUCUUCUCCUUGGUCCUUGCACAUGCAGGAGAUAAUGUCGAGGAAGGAUUCAAUGAAGAAAUGGAUCUGGAAAAAGGCAAAGAGUUCCUGAAAGUCCGCAAGCGUUAUGCCUGCAGUAAACAUAGCGACUGCGAUAAGUCAAAUGGUGGACCCGGAGGAGAUUGUGUUUAUUGGACCUGUGCACCGGGAAAGUAGUUGUGUUCUCCAAUCCAUCUGCGUACAGGGUUCCAUAUAUUAUCAAACUAUUGAUAUCAUUUGUCUGUACGAAUGAAGACAUCUUUGGAGCAAUAAAGUGUUCUGUGUGUUA
This is a long non-coding RNA of Lineus longissimus, 518 nucleotides long. RefSeq lists it as uncharacterized. The transcript has 4 exons. The record is from RefSeq and is a predicted model, not a curated record. Lineage: Eukaryota; Metazoa; Nemertea; Pilidiophora; Heteronemertea; Lineidae.